This is a long non-coding RNA of Catharus ustulatus (Swainson's thrush), 1964 nucleotides long. RefSeq lists it as uncharacterized. NCBI's taxonomy places the organism in Eukaryota, Metazoa, Chordata, Aves, Passeriformes, Turdidae. The transcript is spliced from 5 exons. The record is from RefSeq and is a predicted model, not a curated record.
GUGGGAAGAAAAGAGGAUCUCGAUUUCCCCGCGCCGGCCACCGAAACGGGGCGAGGUUUUGGAGAAACUCAGAGGCCCUAGUCAACCUACUGGCGCUCCCCUGCCCGCCCGGCUCCCAGGAAGCACCAGAGAACUGCCGAGACCCGCGACAGCCGGUGCUGAGCCAGCUCUGCCGCCGCGUAGAGCAUCCCUGGGCGGUGGAGGGAGGAGGUACUGCUACCUCCCCGUCCAACUUCUCACCGUAAGAACCCUUCUGCCCGCGCUCCCCUCCCCCCUCCCAGGUGCGGGGUACCUCCGUGCGAGGCGUGAGAAGAGCUAUGGGCAGGGAGAGAGUCGUUCCUGCUGGCUCAUCUUCUCCCUCCGCCGGCGCGGCGGGGUCCGCCUCGGAUGAUCACGGCUAGAGGUUGCUGGGACAGGGGUCGGGGAAGCUCGGUGUCCUGGGGGAGCCGCGAGAAAAGCCCCGGGAGGGGACGCAGAGUGGCAGUCCCUGGGAUGGAUGGUGAAUGUAAGGGUCUGCAACACCCCCUCCCCCCCGCCAACAAACACCUCCUUCUCUCGGAUGACAAAAAGUAAUAACUCAGACGUCAACAGGUUUCUACUGCCUUGGCACGGAGUAACCGUAACAACAGCGCUGAUAAGGAAAAGCCAGUAAAUGGUUUAUUUUCAAGUUCGAUUCCAAGCCUGGCAAACUGGGUGCCGGAGCAGCGGUGAGAGGAUGGACCGACAACUUUGGCAAUAGAAACCGAAUACCCACCAACGCUGAAUGCAUGGCCGAUCCGGGGCUCGUCGUGCAAACCCUGCUGCAGAAGGGUGAGGACUCCAAGCCCCGGAGCCGCUACUACUGCCAGAAGAAGUGGUGCCUGUGGAAGCUCCCGCAGCCAAACGGGAUCUCGUCGGUGACCCCCAUCCUUCCAUGGAAUAGCCCUUCAAAGUGCCCAGGAUUAGCGUUGGGGUGUGAGACCUGAGCUCUGUCACUGCCUCUCCUGGCUUCCCUUUCUCAGCCCCUAAGAUGCAGGACGUGUGAGCACAGCCUCACUUGGGUUCCAGGGAGGGAGGCAGGGUCUUCCACUUCUCCCGCACCGCCUGGGCGCAUCCUGCCCACCGCCUGCCUCACCGCCCGCCUCCCUGCUGUCUGUGCACUCCUUCAGCACACCUCUCAGGGGCCUGGGGACUCGCUGCGGUGAGAUCGGGUCUCCCCGCCUCCUCCUUUCGACUCGGCAGACUCUGGGCUGCCGCUGUAUCUUUUUCUUGGGAUACUCACACCCAACUUCCCCGCGCCGAAGCAGCCAAUGAAAAAUGUAUCGCCUGUCACGUAAUUAAUAUAUAACCCCCCUCGUCGUUCCCCCGCAAGCCGAAGAGUUGUUUCAAAGGUUUGCUUAUUUCUUUACCAAAUACGUCACCUCUGAGCAUCUUGGGAAGCACUGGAGUCGAGCUCAGACGUACGAUUUUUAAUUUUUCGUUUAUGCCUGCCUUGGUUAUACUAUCACCUGAUUUUUUAGAAGUACUAUAACUCAGGGGAAGUCACUUGCAAGUUGUUAAAACGAAUAUUUCUACUGGGACUGUAUCAGGCUUGCAGAGACACAGAUGUCUCCUUAUUUCCUCCUUCCUAUGGCUGCAGCCGACACAACAAGAGCCACAGAUACGCUGCGGAUACGUGUGCAGGCAUGCAGAGCACCCUGGUUUUAGGAGGUUAUUUACCAAAGCUGCAAUCACACCAGCAAGCACUGAUCCUGCUGUCCAGCCGGUUUUGCCAGAGAGAGGCAGAUUGGCUUCAGCACCCCUUCAGUUUGGUUUAACCAAAAUCAAAAUGUGGGGACAGCGGAGCUGUGAGGACAGGGAGACUCUGAAGCCUCUCCAAUCUUCUUCAGAUGGAGGGCUAGCAAGCGUGUGUAGGGAGCCCCCGAGGAGCAGAAAAUCCAGACGUGGCCCCAUCAAAACAGAGGAAGGAUUUAUAGCAUCUUAUG